This 330-nucleotide ribosomal RNA is filed under the name Escherichia coli. RNAcentral describes it as "partial 23S ribosomal RNA". It matches the Rfam family "Bacterial large subunit ribosomal RNA", at positions 1172 to 1506 of the family's 2925-position model. Lineage: Bacteria; Pseudomonadati; Pseudomonadota; Gammaproteobacteria; Enterobacterales; Enterobacteriaceae. The record is from RNAcentral.
GUAACGGGGCUAAACCAUGCACCGAAGCUGCGGCAGCGACACUAUGUGUUGUUGGGUAGGGGAGCGUUCUGUAAGCCUGUGAAGGUGUACUGUGAGGUAUGCUGGAGGUAUCAGAAGUGCGAAUGCUGACAUAAGUAACGAUAAAGCGGGUGAAAAGCCCGCUCGCCGGAAGACCAAGGGUUCCUGUCCAACGUUAAUCGGGGCAGGGUGAGUCGACCCCUAAGGCGAGGCCGAAAGGCGUAGUCGAUGGGAAACAGGUUAAUAUUCCUGUACUUGGUGUUACUGCGAAGGGGGGACGGAGAAGGCUAUGUUGGCCGGGCGACGGUUGUC